Molecule: ribosomal RNA, 305 nt
Filed under: uncultured bacterium
Lineage: Bacteria
Description: bacterial SSU rRNA
Rfam family: Bacterial small subunit ribosomal RNA
Source: RNAcentral
UGUUCCUACGGGGCGCAGCAGUGAGGAAUAUUGGUCAAUGGCCGGAAGGCUGAACCAGCCAAGUCGCGUGAGGGAAUAAGGCCCUAUGGGUCUUAAACCUCUUUUGUCAGGGAGCAAAGGCGUCCACGUGUGGACGAGAGGAGAGUACCUGAAGAAAAAGCAUCGGCUAACUCCGUGCCAGCAGCCGCGGUAAUACGGAGGAUGCGAGCGUUAUCCGGAUUUAUUGGGUUUAACGGUUGCGUAGGCUGCGUGUCAAGUCAGCGGUAAAAUUUCGGGUCUCAACCCCGUCGUGCCGUUGCAACUGA